RNAcentral lists this unclassified non-coding RNA (381 nucleotides) under uncultured fungus. RNAcentral describes it as "sequence contains ITS1". The stretch from base 1 to 105 matches the Rfam family "5.8S ribosomal RNA", at positions 50 to 154 of the family's 154-position model. Lineage: Eukaryota; Fungi. The record is from RNAcentral.
GAAUUGCGAUAAGUAAUGUGAAUUGCAGAAUUCAGUGAAUCAUCAAAUCUUUGAACGCACAUUGCGCUUUCUGGUAUUCCGGAAAGCAUGCCUGUUUGAGAAUCGAUCAACUCUCACUUUGAAAGCUGUUCGCAGCAUGAAGGGUGGAUUUGGGUUAUUUGCGAUUUAGCAAUGACCUUCAAAGCAAUGUAUGACCGUGGUCUGUUAAAACAGUACUGUUGGUUUAAGUGCAUGAACGAGGUUAAUUCCUUUUGAUUUCGCUUGAACUUUGUAUUUGUUUGCAAACAUGGUUGUCUCAAAUAAAUAUCUCGAUGGGAUUCGGUAUGAAUCGCAUCUUGAACACUUGGUCUCAAAUCAGGUAGGAAAACCCGCUGAACUUAA